GAAGGCGGGGGGAGUUGAGGAGAAGGAGGGGAGGGAGGGGGCGGCGGCGGCGGAGGUCGGCUCUGAUGCAGCAGAGGUGGUGGUUGGAGAGGUAGAAAGGGCCCGCUCCAUCCCGGGCGCUCUGCAGAUGGCGUCACCAAUGGCCUUUGCAUUGUGGGGCGGGAAGUUUUCGGCGUCAUCUCCUCCUUUCUUAUAGGUAGAGGUCUGGCUGACGGAAACUACAACUCCCGGCAGCUCCGGCUCAUCUGGCGGCAGUUUGCGGGGCAGUGUGGGAAUUGUAGGCUCAGCCGCUCGUGAUUGCCAGAAGCUGCGCUGGCCUUCGUCGUCCAGUCACUGACGCGCUCGCUUUGAAUCAGCAGGUCCCAGCACGUGCCCGAUUAUAAGAACCAUCUGUGAGACUGAGUAAAAGUAUACAUUAACAGAUGCGACAAUGGAGACAGAGUUUGUUGCCCUGGUCACAAAGCUAAAGGCUGAAGAGGAGGCUUUGAACUCAGGUUUUCUGAAUACAGAUCUUGCAGCGUUUAACCCAAGCUAUGCUACCUCCUCACAUCUAGCAGGCAUCAUACACUAGUCUUCUGGGUUCUGUGAAGAAGAAAAGAGGAAUAAAGAGGACAGCAUCCUCCCUUUUAGCAACUUCCUCUCUCAGUGGGAACCUGCUGUGUGAUGGGAACUUUCUGUCUGGAGACGUUCGAGACAGACCACAGUAUGUGACUGUCUGUAUGCAGUUCAUAGCCAGAGAGAACGGCUCAGGCCACAAAUGCUACUAGACACCAGGGUCAGUGUGGGCUGGAGGAAGGCUCCACAGAUAGUGCGGUGCUUAAACUGAGCCUUGGAGUUUGGAAUGAUCUGGAAUUGGAAGGGCGGGCACUCCUGAUUCUGAUCAUGGGACCAACCCGUCUCUUCCCAGAUUCCCAUUCCCGCACUGUGUAGACCUGCCUUCUUGUUUUCUUGCCCUUCUCCUCCUCAUGGCAGCCCCCAACCCCUAAGUCUUUCUGGCAUUGGACCUUUCCUCCCCUCUUCCCUCUCACUGGAAGUAACCAGCCCUGUCACUCAUGCUCAUGGCUCGGAUGUUUCCCUUGGCGCUCCCAGGAGAUCCUGACGUCCUCAUGCAGCAGAAGUAACGUGGUGACAGAUCAGGCGUGCACUGGAGUUCACACUGACCUGAGUCUGGAUCGUCUUCUGCUCGGGACUUGUGGACCUGGGCAAGCUGAUCAACCGGAUCGGGUCUCUAUAUCAUCUCCGGUACUGGGGGCUGAUGAUCCCUACUUCAGGGCUAUUUUCUGGAUGACGUGAGAUAAUGCAUGGGUAAAAGGUCUAGUGCAAGUAGAAAUACCCCCAAAAUACUGGUCCCAGCUUUGCCUCAGUUCAUUUCCGCCAAGUCUGAUGGCAGAGGGGACCAGUGGGGGAGAGAGAAGUGUGAAAGCAUUCACACUGGGGAGUCUGAUCACACUGGCGUUGGUCCUGGUUCCCGAUUCUAGGAGAGGUGUCUUUUGGACAAGUGACUUAUCCAGAGUCUUCCCAAUUGCUGUGCCCUGCAUGAAACUGGAUAAUGUAUGUGAAGGGUCUCGCCCAGUGGCUGACGUGUAGAAAGUCUGAGCAUGACCGUCAUGGCUGAGCCCAGGCCACAGAAACUGAACCCCUUGGCGGCAUCAGACAGAACAUGUAUACCGACCUUAGGAAGAGGAUGAAACACUUUGGAAAUGAUGGAUCGUCUCCGUGAAGUCUUCACACAGGUGUUCCCCAACUCUAGUAGAGGUCCCUGUGGGCGAGAAGCAUUUGGAAAGAGGACGUGGGAGCCCCAGCGUGACUGAUUUUCUUGAGUUGCCCUUUGGAACUCACACACAACAUUGUGUCCUCAGAACUCACACAAUGCCGAGAGCUCAUCACGUAUCGAGAACAGAGUAACCAAACCCGGGGCAGCUGGCAUCGUGGGGCGCUUUGUUUGCUAACCUGACAAACAAACCCAGCGCACUGACAACAGCCCGCCGGCCUGCUUCAGGCAGCACAGAGCCCAGGGACGGGGAGCUCUCCUUGCCUGCUUGUUGGAGUGACAGCAGCAGAGAUCAAAGUUUAAUGCACCGAUUAUCUUUCUGUUUUCAGGGGCCCAGCAGGAUUGAAUGGGCUGCCUCAUCCAAGGAGGCCACAGAGGGUGGCCGGGUGGAACUGAAAAAGGAAGGAGACUCGGCUGAGACAAGGCCAACGCCACCGCAUUUUUCACCAGGCUUUGAGUGCCGGGGGGCCUUCCCGGGGAACUCGGCUGUAGGGCCUGCUUCCAUAUCUUCAGGCUGCUCUGGUCCACGAAGGUUUGGCAGGCAGGAGGCACAGAACAGAGGGACCCAACUGAAUAAACCCUCAGAAAUAGAACUGCUUGAGGGAAAACCAAAUAAUAUCUGGACAUCUUUUCGUGCUUCUAGACCUGCUUAAAAUGCAUGCAGCUAACAGAGCCUCUGCCCUUACUGUUGGAAAAUGGGCCAUGCAGCUGAUACCAGGAAAGAAUAUGCUCACUCCCUCGCCCUUGAUUAUAUGUCACAACAGUAAUUAUUAUGAUGAUAGUAACAACAAAAGCAGCUCACACACAUUGAGUGCUUACUGUAUGCCAGGCAGUCUACCGAGCACUUCAUGUAUGUUAAUGCAGGCAGUUCUGGUUUUAAUCUUGAUUUUCUUUAUGAAUUUGUUCUGUGUCCUUGAGGAAGUUACCCACCUUCUCUAAACAAAGAGAUAUUUACAUGCAUUUCAUAGGUUUUUGGAGAGAAUUAAAUAUAAUUAUGUAAAGUGUGAAGUAUAUAGCAGGUGCUCUGUGAUGGUGACCAAUAUAAUUUUAAUUAAUAAUGUGAACUUUCCUGUUUAUUUUUUUUUUUUGUACCUGUUUCCAAAGGUCUUGCCUUCCUAGGACCUGUCCUUCUGAAACAGGGAAUGUAGAGAUCCACCUUCUCUUUCUGGACGAACUCCUACUUAACCCUCAAGACCCAUUUCAAAGGUUUCCUACACUGUGAAACCUUUGUCAGUUUCCACAGUACAAAACAUACUGCACAUCCUGGCCCUCAUCACAUCGUAAUUGGGUCUGUUUAUGGUCUGUCUUCUUGGAAAGCUUGGAAGUUUCUGGAGGUACAGUCAAUAUCUGCUGUGCUCCCCUAGCUUAGUGGUUUUCCUGGUGUGGUCCGCAGACUUCUGGGGGUCUGCGAAACUCUUUCCGGGGGUCCUUGAGGUCAUUACUGUUUUCAUAACUCUGGGACAUUAUUUGCAUUUUUCAUUCUAUUGACAUUUGUAGUUGUGGUGGGUAAGACUGCUGGCAUUGGUUUCAAUCAAGGAUAUGACAUCAAAAUGUACGAGGAACCGUAUCCAUCACCAUCAUACAGUUAAUGUUAAAACACAUGCCAAUUUCACUUAAGAAUGCCCUUAAUGAAGUAGGAAAAUGAUGAACUUUAUGAUAUCUCGACCCCUGCCUUUUUAAUAAUCAGUAUAGAGAAAAGUGGGAGCGUACGAAAGCGCCGUGGUUGUGAAGGUAAUGUCAAGGAAACGCACAUGUUUGUGAUUGAAUUGUGAGCUGAAUUAGUCAUUGUGUGUUCAUGACACAUGCUUUUUACUUGAAAGAACAACUGACAAACACCGUGGUGGUUCAGAUUUGGGCAUUUGGCAAUUGUCUCUCAAAAAUGAAUUCAGUGAGCCUGUCACUUUUAAGGAAAGCAGUGUUUGUUACCAAUGAGAAAGUUCAAGCUCGGUGGAAAUCAGAAGUUUGGAAAACUUGAUCUGGCAUUCUGAACUCGUUACAUGUCCUCGAAGAGAACUGCAGUGAUACUAGUGAGUCGGAAUUUUUGAUACUGUAUAUUGAAAUGUGUAAAUGUUUGGAAGAUCUGCAUGAGUCUGAGGCAGUUGUUUUCAAAUCGAACACUCAAGAUGUUAUAAAAUCACUGAUGGGUAAAAGACCCAUUCAAAGCGUGAGACAGUGCGCCUGGGUGGUGCAGUCAGUCGAACGUCCACUCUUGGUUUUGGCUCCGGUUGUGAGCUCAGGGUCAUGAGAUCCGGCCCUGCGUCGGGCUCCACGCUCAGCAUGGAGUCUGCUUAAGACUCUCUCCCCCUCUCCCUCUGUCCCAUGCCCUCAACGCAUGUGUGCCCCCCCCAAAUGAAUAAAUAAAUCUUAAAAAAAAAAAAAAGUGCAAGAUGGACCAGUGGAUUUUACUGUGGCAUAGUAGAAAAGUUCAGCAACACGAUUUCAGAUUUUAUAUCACAACAACCCAUAACAAAAACUUGUCAAGUGUGUCUGUUGUACCAAAGAAUAUCCAUUAUUAUCUGAAAAGGCUAUUAAAACAGUGCUCCAUUUUCCAGCUAUGUAUCUGUGUGAGGGUAGGUUUUCUCUCUACAUUUUAGCCGGAACAAGCUAUCGGAGCAGACUGAGUACAGAAGCAGAUCUGAGAGUCCCGCUGUCCUCCACUAAGCUGGACGUUAAAGAGAUUGGAAGGUAUGUAAAACAAUGUCGCUCUUCUCACUAAACAUCAUCGUUCUGUAAACUAGAGUUUAUUUUUGUACAAUAUGAAAAUAUUUCUAUUUCAUGAAAUAGGCGACACGCUGACGUGUGUGGGUUUGUUAUUGUUAUUUUUAAAUGAAUAAAUGAAUACUC
This is a long non-coding RNA of Ailuropoda melanoleuca (giant panda), 4615 nucleotides long. RefSeq lists it as uncharacterized. The record is from RefSeq and is a predicted model, not a curated record. NCBI's taxonomy places the organism in Eukaryota, Metazoa, Chordata, Mammalia, Carnivora, Ursidae. The transcript is spliced from 3 exons.